UACGUAGGGGGCUAGCGUUGUCCGGAAUCAUUGGGCGUAAAGAGCGUGUAGGCGGUCCGGUAAGUCCGCUGUGAAAGUCGGGGGCUCAACCCUCGAAUGCCGGUGGAUACUGUCGGGCUAGAGUACGGAAGAGGCGAGUGGAAUUCCUGGUGUAGCGGUGAAAUGCGCAGAUAUCAGGAGGAACACCGAUGGCGAAGGCAGGUCUCUGGGCUGACACUGACGCUCAUGCACGAAAGCGUGGGGAGCAAACAGG
This 253-nucleotide ribosomal RNA is filed under the name uncultured bacterium. RNAcentral describes it as "partial 16S ribosomal RNA". It matches the Rfam family "Bacterial small subunit ribosomal RNA", at positions 524 to 776 of the family's 1533-position model. The record is from RNAcentral.